This is a non-coding RNA of Mycena albidolilacea, 90 nucleotides long. NCBI's taxonomy places the organism in Eukaryota, Fungi, Basidiomycota, Agaricomycetes, Agaricales, Mycenaceae. The record is from the annotation of a GenBank genome assembly.
GCACCCUUGGUGUAUGGAAACACACAUCUCACAGUUGCUCUAGCACAAAAUAAUCAAGAUGAGUCCGGGGUUCGAAUCCCCGACGGUGCA